CCUUGUUUCUCCUCAAAAUUAUGUCGUCUGCAGCCAACAUAAUUUCUCAGGCCAAAACAAGAACUCCUCCAAUCACUCACUCUACUCUAGAAGGAGUUAGAACAACAAAUCGUUGACUUUCGCGAUAAUUCACGCCUCUCGCGUCUUGCCUUCCUAAGGUUUGCCAAACUUAGGGCUCCUAGGUCCCAACGACCUACAGCUAAGCUCUGAUACCAACUUAAUCUGUCACGCCCCGGAUUACUCGUUUCCCCGGGUUCGUUAACAGACCCGCCGUAUAUAUAAGUAUUUCCUCUGUAUACGAAGCGAAAAGUAAAAGUACAUGUAAUCAUACAAUACUACAAACAGUAGUGCAGAGCAGCUAGAAAAAUAAACCAUAAAU
RNAcentral lists this long non-coding RNA (379 nucleotides) under Ananas comosus (pineapple). RNAcentral's name for it is "long non-coding RNA (ACOM_LNC026133)". Lineage: Eukaryota; Viridiplantae; Streptophyta; Magnoliopsida; Poales; Bromeliaceae. The record is from RNAcentral.